AUUGAACGCUGGCGGCAUGCCUUACACAUGCAAGUCGAACGGCAGCACGGGAUCAAUCCUGGUGGCGAGUGGCGAACGGGUGAGUAAUAUAUCGGAACGUGCCCAGUCGUGGGGGAUAACGCAGCGAAAGCUGUGCUAAUACCGCAUACGAUCUAAGGAUGAAAGCGGGGGAUCGCAAGACCUCGCGCGAUUGGAGCGGCCGAUAUCAGAUUAGCUAGUUGGUGGGGUAAAGGCCCACCAAGGCGACGAUCUGUAGCUGGUCUGAGAGGACGACCAGCCACACUGGAACGGAGACACGGUCCAGACUCCUACGGGAGGCAGCAGUGGGGAAUUUUGGACAAUGGGCGCAAGCCUGAUCCAGCAAUGCCGCGUGCAGGAUGAAGGCCUUCGGGUUGUAAACUGCUUUUGUACGGAACGAAACGGCCCUUUCUAAUACAGGGGGCUAAUGACGGUACCGUAAGAAUAAGCACCGGCUAACUACGUGCCAGCCGCCGCCGUAA
This 500-nucleotide ribosomal RNA is filed under the name uncultured bacterium. RNAcentral describes it as "partial 16S ribosomal RNA". It matches the Rfam family "Bacterial small subunit ribosomal RNA", at positions 30 to 523 of the family's 1533-position model. The record is from RNAcentral.